This 307-nucleotide long non-coding RNA is filed under the name Ictidomys tridecemlineatus (thirteen-lined ground squirrel). Its description in RNAcentral is "lncRNA (ENSSTOG00000031493.1)". The record is from RNAcentral. Lineage: Eukaryota; Metazoa; Chordata; Mammalia; Rodentia; Sciuridae.
UGGAACUGCUAUUUGUAUAUUGCAUGAUAUUUUAUCAGGGAAAAAAAUAAAACUGAGAUCCAAUUUCAUGAAAAUGCUGUUGCCAUAAUGCUCAGGAGGACAGGGGGAAGAGAGAGAGUCAAGUCUUCCUAAUGUCUACCUCAUAUGCAGAUCUGGGAACCUCAGGAAAAUAUGCAUGGUUGAUUGGAGGAAGAAACCCCAUGGAGGAGUCAAUGUCAGAAAAAAAAAGUCAGAUGAUAAAGCGAAGAUUUAGGGUAAAAACUGAGAGUGAGUGGCAGUUUAUUUACAAUGGAACAAGUGAGUUAUU